AAGAUACUACUACAAAACAAAUUAAGAACAUUUUCUACUUAAUCAAUCUUAUACGUUAUUAAUUGUUUCUCAAAGAACUAGCUACGAAAUCAAGUUUGAUUAUAUAAAGAACACUUUCUCAUGGCUCUUGCUGCUUGUAGUUUGAUCCAAAUGCCAAUGCUUCGAACACCAAAUUAUAAAUCUACUCCAAUAAAACCUAUGACUAUUACCAUAAAAUGUGCAUAUAAAGGAAAACAAGGUACGAAAGACAGAGUUAAAGCAGGAGGAGGAAGUGGUGCACAAAAAAACAGCAUACUCCAAAGCACAACAAGAAAUCUUCAAUUUGAAAACAUUUAUGCCACCAAUAGCCUGAGUGACAUUAAUGAUCAAGAUGAUCAAAACACAAGUCCUAGAAGUAUUGGCAAAAUAGAUUAUGAUUAUGUAAUAUGAAUUUUAUUCUUUUCUUAAUUUAUAUUUUUUAAAGAAAAAUAUAAAUUUUUAUAAGAAUUCACCAUGAUUUCACACCAACUGUAACAUAGAGGUUUUGAGUUUUUUUUUUUUUUUUUUAUAAGCAAAAUGGUAUUAUAAAAGAGGUUUUUGAGUAUUAAAUAAUGUAGUAAUAAUUUUCUUCUUGAUGGAAUGGAAAAAUAAUAAUUAACCUUGAAGUUCA
Long non-coding RNA from Trifolium pratense (red clover), 649 nucleotides. RefSeq lists it as uncharacterized. The transcript has 2 exons. The record is from RefSeq and is a predicted model, not a curated record. Lineage: Eukaryota; Viridiplantae; Streptophyta; Magnoliopsida; Fabales; Fabaceae.